AUCAUUUGGCAAAGACAAAG
RNAcentral lists this microRNA (20 nucleotides) under Ciona intestinalis (vase tunicate). Its description in RNAcentral is "cin-miR-4125-5p". Lineage: Eukaryota; Metazoa; Chordata; Ascidiacea; Phlebobranchia; Cionidae. The record is from miRBase by way of RNAcentral.